AUACCACCACAUCUGGUCUACAAAACAUAGAUUCUCCUCCUUGGAGAAAGUUAAUCAGCAUUUAAGAGGAAAGGUGACAGUCCAGGCGCUGGGAUCUGGGAAAAGCAGAGGGCCGGCCUGUGACGUGGAUGAGGCCUCCUUCUGGAGGCUGCAGAGUCCCAGGCAAGGGAGCCUCUGCCGACGGCCUCAUCCAAAAAGGGCAGCGAGCCGUGGAAUGGGCAGAUCUGGCACGAAGUCUCGGAACCUUCACCAGGACCAUACCCCUCUUCCAGGUCCUUACCUGUGGUGUUGGAAGGGCGGGUUCUGACAGGAAGUGUUAAUGAGCUCAUAGGAAGAAAUUAGAUAUUAUAGAGCAUGAGAUUUAAAUAACUGAACAACAAUGUACUGCACCUCUUCGUGAUGUACAAUGCUUUGGCAGGUAGGCACCUGUGCUCAAGCAACAGAUGCCACACGGGUUUGCACGUGUUAUUUGGGUAGGCACUCAAUUUAGGCUGGGUACUCAAUGCAUCCAAAAUUUCAGAGAACUGACUCUUCCAGGGAUGACUCAGUGUUUUCUACUGAAAGGCACUGGUGGCCACAUGGUCAACAACCCUUCAUAAAUCUGUCCCAGACAGAGGCCAGUCUGUGUAACAAAGCAUGAACGAGUGAGCGAGUGAGCAAACGAGUGGACAGAGGAACGCAGGCGCUCUGGCCCAGAACACUGCCCACCCCGGCAGCCCACCCCCGCGCCUAUGUCUGUGGAUGGCACAGGGCCAUGAGGGUUCCUCUGCCCUCUGUUGCCCCCAGAAUAGUGACUGGGGACUGAGAGCUGGACAUCUGUGCGCGGCAGCCCUGGUGCUUUCCAGCCACGAGUGAAAAGCUGCGAAGAAGCGCCAGCCCUGUGACACCGCCCAUCUCACCUGCCUCCCCAGGGCCACACACACGCCACCUCCUUCUCUGGUUUCCCUGCCAAGACUUAACGCAAUUAUCUUCUUCAAAGGCUACCCUAUGAUUCUGGCAUUCUCGGACUGGGGGAGCACGUUCGGCUUCAUAUUAUCAUGGCCUCUCUGGACACAGAAUGCGUAGUGCACAGUAGAGAAGUCCAAGGCAGGUACCACAUACCCACCUGGCUGCACAGGCUAUUUAAAAGAGCUGGAAUAAAGUGGAGGAGCAAAACCAAAUUCUGGAGGAGGAAACCCUAGAGGCAGACCGGGCACAGGACGCACCCAAGGGCUGCAGAACAGGCUGUUCCAAAGAGUGGAGGUGGGACCUCAGAGGGUGGGAAGGAGCCUUGCUGAGCUCACACGAGGGCCUCCACGCCCACAGCCGUCCCCACCCCGCAAUCCUAUACGUACUGGGCUCCUGGACACGCUGCCUUCAACCUCCUUUCCUUAUUUCCCCAUUCCCUGCCCUCUGUAACUGACUGUCCCCAACAGCUUCCUCUUCCCUUAACUGGUCCUGGGUAUCAGCAAACACUCUGAAGGUCUGGUUCCUUCAGUAACUUCUAGUGCUCUUGAGAUGAUGCCCUAUUUUGCAUGCCUAUAACGGUGCAGAAUACAAACAGGGUACAGAAUACAAACAGGGUAUAUUUAAGAGAAAGUUAAUAAAAACAUCUUAGUAAUUUUAGAUAUUGCCACACCAUGUAACGUUUAAUGGCAAUCACCCUUUAAGGAAGCCAAUAAACCACCAAGGGAGGAGCAGCCACUCUGUGUAGUUCACAGGCAGUCAGGCUACUGGAGGGAAGGACAGGGACGGAGAGGGCGGACUUGUCGUUAUGUAACUGUAAGCACUCAACUCGAUGGCUUCUCCCUAGGCUACAGCGCAGGGCCUAUGGACCUUCUCCAGUAGGCCCACCAUUUUCAGCCACACACUUUUAAUUCUCUUUGUUAAUAAGCACAGAUAACUAAGCAAUUGUUUCCUUAAAAAACCAAAGUCUAGCUGGCUUUAAUUGAUAAAUUGCCUUAGAAAUUUCUCAAGUUUCUGAAGAUGAAUUCAGAAAAAAGCUACACUAAAGAUACUAGAGAUUUUAUACUUAUUUAUUUUUUGAUUUUAAAAGCGAAUACUGAAAAGUUAGCCAAAAAAAAGCUGAUUAUGGAAAAGUCUAAAACUAGAGAAAAAAGGAAGAAAAUAAUUAUAUACAGUCUGCCCUUCCAAAGAUAAUCACCAUUAACGCUUGUGGGUACUUCCUUUCAAGUUUUUUACUGUCAAAGAUUUAUGGUUUUCAUAGAAAAAGAGAUGAGAUUUGUGGUUACCAGAGUCGGAGGGUGGAGGGGAGGGGAAAUGGAAUAAAGGUGUCACAGGCACAAACGUCCAGGGGUCAGAUGAACAAGUACUGGAGACGUCAUGUACAGCACCGACUGUAGCUCACACUGCUGUACAUUUUCGGGAAAGUUGUGAAGUAAAUCCUGAGAGUUCUGAACAUCACGAGGAGAAUUUCUUUCCUUUUCUGUCCUUCUUUUUAUUCUGUCUAUGAGAAGACGGUGUUAACGGAACUCGCUGUGGUAAUCAUUUCGACAUAUAUAAACUGAACCAUCACGCUGUCCACCUUCAAUUUAUACAGUGACAUUAAGUCAAUUAUUUCUCAAUAAAACUGGGGAAAAGAUGUAGUGUUUUUAAAUUUUUAACAUGGUUAUGAUCGAAACUAAUUUCAAAUCAAUUUUGCACUUAAAAUUAUGACAUUAGUGUUGUUCCCUACUGCUGUGCAGUCUUCAAAAACGGCAUUCCGGUGUGGAUAUGCUGUCAUUCCUUUAGCCACUCUCUUCACCAUGCAGUAUUAGCUCCUUAUGUGCCUUCCCUAACAUAAACGUGGCUGCAAUGUGCACUUUUGUUCACCAAGCUCUUGCUGCCUUGGGGAUUACUUCCCGAGGACAGACUUGUAGAAUCGUAACCACUUGGGACAAAUAGCACAGGCAGUUUUAAAGCUUUCGGUGCCUUCUGCCACCUGCUAACCACAACAGUUAGGCCGACCAAGAAGUUACAAGCUAUCUGUUUCACUCCCCUCUUGUCAGCAAUGGUUGCUAUUAAAUCAAAACAAAACAAGGUUAUACCGGAACCUCCCAGAAGUACAAACAAAUUAAAAUUUAUUUAAACCAUUUACGAUGAAGAUUUGAAAACAUAUACAAAAGUUAAGUGAGAAAGUAUAGACCUCCAGGGACCUAUCCUGACCGCACCAAUUACAACUCCAGGCACAUCUUGUUCUACCUCCGCCCCCACCUGCUUUUCCCUUCCUGAAUUCUUUUGAAACAAGCAACAGCCAUGGUACCAUUUCACCUGUAAAUGCUUAUCUGUAUCUCUAAAAGGUAAGGGCUCUGAAAACACAAGCACAAGACUGAGAUGCCAUCCCACACCUAAGAGAAAACAAAUUCUCCAACACCCAUGCUGUGGUUCAGUGUUCAAAUUUCCAACUCUCAGAAAUGUCACUUUUUACUUUUUUAUAUUUGAAGAUCUAAUUGGUUUUAAGUGGUUCAUGAAUUGGGCAGCGUUCCACCUAGAAGAGAGAUGCUCCUAAAUGCCACUUUUAAAAAAUUUGGCUUGUAUCACGAUCUGAAUAUCGUCCACAUGAAGGGACUGGCUAACGAGUCUCCUGACCUACAGGUAUCCCUCUGUCCCCUCUCCCAUUUAUCUGCUGAAGAAACCAGGUCAUCUUUUCUGUAGGGUUUUCCACGGUCUGGAUUCUGCUGAUGGAUCCCUGUGGUAUACUUCACUCGUUCCUCCUCACUCUGUACUUCCCGUAAAUUGGUAAUUAGAUGAGACUCAGGCUUGAUUUCCUUUGGGGGGUGGGCGAGGGUGCUACAGUCACAGGAGGUCGGUGCCUCAGUACAUGCUGCUGGCAGCUGCUGACCCAUUAAUUCACCAGGGGUUACAGCUGGUCGUAUCCCAAGGAGGUCAUUACGUCUUCAUUUAUUAGCUGGAACUCUUUAUAAAGAAAAACCUCCCCCUCAUAUACUACUUGGUUACUCAGUGGUAGAGUUGAUUAUACAGGAAAGACAGUAUAAAUGCUCUAUUCUUUCCCUUUACCAGUUUUUAAAACAAUGUGUCAGCUCACUAGUUUUUUCCUCUCAACAUUAUUGCAAGCUCAUGGAUCUAAACAUACUUGAUUUUUUAAAUCUGAUGCAAUUAUUAUUCUUACUGAUGCUCAAGCUGUCCUGUCUGCAGCCGGUGUGGGCAUUUCCCGGUUGAGCCCUUCGUCAUAACCCUGGUCUCUGCGGUGGCUUCCUUGCUCUCUGGCACGGGACCUUCCAGGCUUGUUCACACAACUCCUGCCUGAGGUCAUGGAGCCACUUUCUCCGGCGGCCCUGGGGUUUUCAGUUGG
Long non-coding RNA from Manis pentadactyla (Chinese pangolin), 4291 nucleotides. RefSeq lists it as uncharacterized. The record is from RefSeq and is a predicted model, not a curated record. NCBI's taxonomy places the organism in Eukaryota, Metazoa, Chordata, Mammalia, Pholidota, Manidae. The transcript has 3 exons.